This 25-nucleotide non-coding RNA is filed under the name Mus musculus (house mouse). The record is from RNAcentral. Lineage: Eukaryota; Metazoa; Chordata; Mammalia; Rodentia; Muridae.
UGGUGACCCACGGUAUGUGAAUCUU